Molecule: ribosomal RNA, 301 nt
Filed under: uncultured bacterium
Lineage: Bacteria
Description: partial 16S ribosomal RNA
Rfam family: Bacterial small subunit ribosomal RNA
Source: RNAcentral
CAGUCGCCGCGGGAAUACGGAGGGAGCUAGCGUUGUUCGGAAUUAUUGGGCGUAAAGCGCGCGUAGGCGGUUUUUUAAGUCUGAUGUGAAAGCCCACGGCUCAACCGUGGAGGGUCAUUGGAAACUGGAAAACUUGAGUGCAGAAGAGGAAAGUGGAAUUCCAUGUGUAGCGGUGAAAUGCGUAGAGAUGUGGAGGAACACCAGUGGCGAAGGCGACUCUCUGGUCUGUAACUGACGCUGAGGAGCGAAAGCGUGGGGAGCGAACAGGAUUAGAUACCCCUGUAGUCCCUGUCUCUUAUAC